This 466-nucleotide ribosomal RNA is filed under the name uncultured bacterium. RNAcentral's name for it is "partial 16S ribosomal RNA". It matches the Rfam family "Bacterial small subunit ribosomal RNA", at positions 28 to 507 of the family's 1533-position model. The record is from RNAcentral.
GAUGAACGCUGGCGGCGUGCUUAACACAUGCAAGUCGAACGAUGAAGCCCAGCUUGCUGGGUGGAUUCGUGGCGAACGGGUGAGUAACACGUGAGUAACCUGCUCUUAACUCUGGGAUAAGCCUGGGAAACUGGGUCUAAUACCGGAUAGGAGCGUCCACCGCAUGGUGGGUUUUGGAAAGAUUUAUCGGUUUUGGAUGGACUCGCGGCCUAUCAGCUUGUUGGUGAGGUAAUGGCUCACCAAGGCGACGACGGGUAGCCAGCCUGGGAGGGUGACCGGCCACACUGGGACUGGGACAGGGGCAGGACUCCUACGGGAGGCAGCAGUGGGGAAUAUUGCACGAUGGGCGGAAGCCGGAUGCAGCGACGCCGCGUGAGGGAUGACGGCCGUCGGGUUGUAAACCGCUUUCAGUAGGGAAGAAGCGAAAGUGACGGUACCUGCAGAAGAAGCACCGGCUAACUACGUG